This is a non-coding RNA of Fukomys damarensis (Damara mole-rat), 191 nucleotides long. NCBI's taxonomy places the organism in Eukaryota, Metazoa, Chordata, Mammalia, Rodentia, Bathyergidae. The record is from Rfam.
AUUGCUUCUCGGCCUUUUGGCUAAGAUCAAGUGUAGUAAAAAACUUACCACCCCCCCCAAAUUAGGUCCUGAUGGCUUUACUGCUGAAUUCUACAAGACAUUUAGUGAACUAUUGAUAUUACUCUUUAAACUCUUCAAUGAAUGAAAGGGAAGCAAUGCUUCCAAAUUAUUUCCAGAAGCAAGCAUCACCC